RNAcentral lists this transfer RNA (71 nucleotides) under Gaiella sp. SCGC AG-212-M14. It matches the Rfam family "tRNA". From Rfam's summary of the family: Transfer RNA (tRNA) molecules are approximately 80 nucleotides in length. Their secondary structure includes four short double-helical elements and three loops (D, anti-codon, and T loops). The record is from Rfam by way of RNAcentral. Lineage: Bacteria; Bacillati; Actinomycetota; Thermoleophilia; Gaiellales; Gaiellaceae. RNAcentral also lists the same sequence under 4 other names.
GGCGCCGUGGCCGAGUGGCUAGGCAGAGGCCUGCAAAGCCUCGCACACCAGUUCGAUUCUGGUCGGCGCCU